Molecule: ribosomal RNA, 468 nt
Filed under: uncultured bacterium
Lineage: Bacteria
Description: partial 16S ribosomal RNA
Rfam family: Bacterial small subunit ribosomal RNA
Source: RNAcentral
GACGAACGCUGGCGGCGUGCUUAACACAUGCCAGUCGAACGGAAAGGCCCUGCUUUUGUGGGGUGCUCGAGUGGCGAACGGGUGAGUAACACGUGAGUAACCUGCCCUUGACUUUGGGAUAACUUCAGGAAACUGGGGCUAAUACAGGAUAGGAGCUCCUGCUGCAUGGUGGGGGUUGGAAAGUUUCGGCGGUUGGGGAUGGACUCGCGGCUUAUCAGCUUGUUGGUGGGGUAGUGGCUUACCAAGGCUUUGACGGGUAGCCGGCCUGAGAGGGUGACCGGCCACAUUGGGACUGAGAUACGGCCCAGACUCCUACGGGAGGCAGCAGUGGGGAAUAUUGCACAAUGGGCGGAAGCCUGAUGCAGCAACGCCGCGUGCGGGAUGACGGCCUUCGGGUUGUAAACCGCUUUCGCCUGUGACGAAGCGUGAGUGACGGUAAUGGGUAAAGAAGCACCGGCUAACUACGUG